AACCCAUGUUGAGGACACUUCCGCAAGAGCUUCUUGAACCUAUCCCAUGUCUCCGAAAGAGACUCCAAUUCUGUUUGCACAAAAGAAGAUAUUUCAUUCCUAAGCUU
Dioscorea cayenensis subsp. rotundata (Guinea yam) is the source of this 107-nucleotide small nucleolar RNA. Lineage: Eukaryota; Viridiplantae; Streptophyta; Magnoliopsida; Dioscoreales; Dioscoreaceae. The record is from RefSeq and is a predicted model, not a curated record.